GAUGAACGCUGGCGGCGUGCCUAAUACAUGCAAGUCGAACGCUUCACUUCGGUGAAGAGUGGCGAACGGGUGCGUAAUACAUAAGUAACCUGGCAUCUGCAGGGGGAUAACUGAUGGAAACGUCAGCUAAGACCGCAUAGGUGUAGAGAUCGCAUGAACUCUAUAUGAAAAGUGCUACGGGACUGGUAGAUGAUGGACUUAUGGCGCAUUAGCUUGUUGGUAGGGUAACGGCCUACCAAGGCGACGAUGCGUAGCCGACCUGAGAGGGUGACCGGCCACACUGGGACUGAGACACGGCCCAGACUCCUACGGGAGGCAGCAGUAGGGAAUUUUCGGCAAUGGGGGAAACCCUGACCGAGCAACGCCGCGUGAAGGAAGAAGUAAUUCGUUAUGUAAACUUCUGUCAUAGAGGAAGAACGGUGGAUAUAGGGAAUGAUAUCCAAGUGACGGUACUCUAUAAGAAAGCCACGGCUAACUACGUG
This 482-nucleotide ribosomal RNA is filed under the name uncultured bacterium. RNAcentral's name for it is "partial 16S ribosomal RNA". It matches the Rfam family "Bacterial small subunit ribosomal RNA", at positions 28 to 507 of the family's 1533-position model. The record is from RNAcentral.